Molecule: long non-coding RNA, 1260 nt
Filed under: Ficedula albicollis (Collared flycatcher)
Lineage: Eukaryota; Metazoa; Chordata; Aves; Passeriformes; Muscicapidae
Description: lncRNA (ENSFALG00000023325.1)
Source: RNAcentral
ACCUGCAAUUAAAAUGUCCAAGGAAGGGCAGCGCAGUCUUAAACUGUCUUGAGAUAAAACCACAUUUUAUUGGAUUAACUCUUCCGCACACACACUGAACAAUUUGCAUUAUUGCAUCACAAACAAGUAUUUCCUGCAGUUCUAUUGUCCCAUCCUCAUCAGAAUUGUGUCUGUUUCUAAAGCAGUUUUCACACUGGCCACUCAAUACUCACUUGGUCCUCUAGCAAAAAUCAUUCCCAGAGACAUGUGAAUCAAGCCCUUCUGAAUGGGAAAGGAGGAAUACCUUUAGCCACAAAUACUCUAAAGGGUUUGUUUGUUUUUUUUCUCUUGGAUAAUGAAUCAUAGGAGAGCAUAAAUUCUUCUAAUAAUUUUCCUUCUCCUAUAAAUGCAUCAUACUAUUAAGGCAGCUGGAGAGUGAAGAUGAGAACAGCCCUAUGAAUUAUUUCUGAAAUUAAGCAAACUUCAAGGUAGAAAAAGACCAAAGUGAAAUAGGUUUUCCAAUCCAUACUAAUGCGCUGAUCUCGAGCCAUAAUAUUUACUGUCACUAAUCCAUGCAAUAUUUGCCAUAAAGACAUGCAAUGGUUGUAUCACUAAUCAUAACUGUGGGAGUAUGUAUUUGCUCCUUUUAGCUUAAAAGUGGAUCUGACCAUGAAGGUUGGAACAUCCAGGCAUUUGAAAAUGUGGGACAUACAAACCUCACAACAGAUGACAUGAUCUGAUGCAUCACCAAGACAUCAAGGAAAAUUAAGCUUAGGAUGAGUCUCAAGCUCUGUGCAAUCAGUCACCAUUCCUGCAUACAGGCAGACUGUGAAGAAGCUGUUUCUAGGACUCUGCUGCUUGACAAGUCCCUAAAAUGCAUUAUGGAAUUGCAAGCUAAAGCCAAGGCAUACCCAUUCAACAGUGACUCACUGUGCAGCCUCGGCAAGUGUCUGUCUCAGUUCAGGAAGAGGUGAAUGGGGCAGUGAUAGCUCUCAGUCUCAUAAAACACUUCAAGAACUUCCUGUGAAAAGGAGUAGCUCUGUUGCUACAAUCUCUUGCUUGCCUCCUUCCUAGCCCAGUAACAUAGAAAGAGCAAAGGACAAAAGCCCUGCAGAAAACAAACUCUUCCUGCUCAGCAUCUAUUUAUAUCAGAUGUUGGAACCCCCACCCAUCCCUUCCUGACAGAUCUGGUAAGUGUAUCUCCUCCAUGAGACCAAUAAUGCACCACCAUGGGGGAGUGGGAGGCAGGGUGGGGACUGACAGUAGAGUAAGUACACUGAG